RNAcentral lists this long non-coding RNA (791 nucleotides) under Monodelphis domestica (gray short-tailed opossum). RNAcentral's name for it is "lncRNA (ENSMODG00000031434.2)". The record is from RNAcentral. Lineage: Eukaryota; Metazoa; Chordata; Mammalia; Didelphimorphia; Didelphidae.
CACUGAGUCUGCGUGAGGGCCGCCAUUGGCUGCUGGGCGCAUGCCUUGGCGGUUGUUGGCGACACCUGUGGCUGUCCAACAUGACCUUUAUUAACUCCAUCCCAGGUCUGGGCCUGCCUGGGAGAGAUGGAGCCUAAAGUAGCCACGGGGUCCAAACCGCGCUUCCAGGAGGGCAUGCGGGGGUGCUGUGCUGUCACGGGCCGCUGCCAUAUGAGACCAAGUGUGCCUGAAUCACUUCAGAGGAAGCAACAGAAAUUUCGAACCAGGAGACAACUCAGAUCCAGCAUGGAAAAAAGAGCAUCCCAAGUAGGGGAAGGUCAGGGAAGAUGGAGAAUUCCAGGAAGGAACAGAGAAGAGCUGAAGAGAAAACUGCCAGAUCACCUCACUAGUCUUUGGGAGUGCUCCUGGAGUGGUUGGUCUGAGAGAAACCUCUGAGACAGAAGACCUUUCUGAGCAUUGAUCACCUCUCAGUGAACCCCAAACCCCUUGGAUCAAGCUGAAGAUAAGGGAGUGGAAUGGGAAUUUGUUGGGAAGCCAUUCAAAGAAGAAUUCUAUCCAUUCCAUGAAUUUGUCCUUUGAACUUCAUGCUACAAUUAGGCUAGAUAGAAGUCAACAGAUCUCACAGCUGACCAAGGCGGGUCAGGCAGAUAACCUGAGCCCUCAGGAUUUGGGGAGGGGGGGGGGUUAGUUGUUAGCUCAUAGGGAUCUCCCAUUUCCCAUUUUACUUAUCCAACAACCCCACUCUCCCUGUCUUGUGUAUCCCUUUAGAAUAAAAAAAAAAUUAUUCCUCA